UCCAAUUCAAAUCCAAACACCAAGGCAAGCCCAAAAUUUACAUAAGUUACAUCAAAAAUUGAAUAUACAAGAGAAAUCCAUCCAUUCUAAUUCAAACAGUCACCCUAGCUCAACUAUUAUACAAAACAAAUCCAAAUCUCAGCUAUACAAGAUACAUGCCAUCCAGGCGCACAAUUAAUGUAAUUCAAGCUCUUCUUUUGCCUCGAUUCCUGUGGGGAGAAGAAAACAUUUGGGGGUGAGCUAGAAACUCAGCGAGUGAACAGUAAAACGGUAAUCAAAUAAACUUAACAGCAGUGUAUUUCAAUGCUAUCAUGGAAUAACGGUCCAAUGUGCAAAUAAUGCUCUUUAGAGCCAGUGAAAAUCCUUGUACUUAAAAGCCAACACUCUCUUAGAUCGAGUAAUCAGAUAAACAGAAACAAGGAGCCAUCGUGCUCCAAGGAAAGUAUACACAGUAGUGGAGACGUUGGUUCUAAGCACAAGAUUUUUCCCAAGAACUCAAUAAAGCCAACAUGUUAUGGCACACACACAUACACAAUGAGAUGCAAUCGUGCAAGCAAUGCAGAAUUACUUCAAAAGUAACUUUUGGAGAAAUAGUUAAGGUUCACUCACCAACCACGGCACACGAACCUUUUUCCAGCAUACAUCAUAGCCUUGCUCAUGUUAGAAUCCUAGAUUACAAAUAUCAAGUCAAAUAAAAGGAAUUCUAAUCUUAACAAAUUCCUGCCACCUUUAGGCAUUUGAAUCACAAUUGAAAAUACGCUUAUCCAAUUGACACAAAUCUUAUGGCGUUAUGAAGCUAAGACAUAGACUAACAUUCUUAUGAAGACCUCCAAGGCCAAAUAAUACAUUUUCAGGGUCAAAAGUCAAAAUUUAGAGAAAGAAUGAAAACUGUCAUGAAACAGGGGUUAUAGGGCAGUCAUGGGUGUUUCGGUCAAUUCACAAGCUACAGUACUCCAAUCAAUCUGAAAUUUUGCAGGCAAGUAGUCAACUCAUAUAUCUACAGGUUUCAUGUUUUGAGCAAGAGUUGAUUCGGUCUUUAACAUGGUCAAAUGUACAGUACAAAAACAGGGCAGAUUAACCUUAAGCUAGAAUUCAUGUACUCUAGCUGAAAAUUCUUUUAAGUAAUCCAAACUAGUAUACCAAAGCUUCAUUUAUCCCAAUAUCCAGCUAUCAUGCUAUGGACAACUACCACUUAUCACAUGAGAGCAGAAAUAAUACAACAAAAGCUGAAAUUACACUUCCAAACCAACAUUUGCGAAUAACCAUCAUUAAUCACGAUUAAAGGCUAGAACUUCCACCUUAAGACACUAGAAUAGCUUAUUACUCAUAUACAUGGCAAAUCGAAGAUGAAAUCACAUUACUAAAGUCCGGAAAUACCACUAACAUGGGAUUUCAUCAUCCCAACCUCCAAAUCACAAGAAUUUCCAUAAAACUAGUCAAGAUCACACAAAUUCAAAUCAAUCAUAUACUCUCCAAAAAUGGGACAGCAUUUCCCCUUAAUUUUACACAUUUCCAACCUACCAUUCAACCCCAAUUUUACAUACAAUUAUAGACUAGCAAAUAUACUCAAUUAGAGCCACAAUACCCCUUAAUCAAAGCCAAUAAACCAAUCAUAAGAAAAUCCCCAAUUUAAACCCUAGCAACCGGAAUUCACACCACAAGCGGAAAUUUUCCGUAAACAACUGCAAUUCACGUCUAAAGGGUCCAUUUAAUACCAUUUCAAUCCAUCAAUUCAAGACCAAUUCAUGCUUGUCAUAUAAAAUCGGAAAAAUGCCCAAUAAAUCAGAAAUUCACCAUAACUUGCUUCAACCCAUGAACUACUCCACAAAAUAUCACACAUGGCCACCACAAACCAUUAAUUAACCAAUACUAGAGCAAAAGUAACUUGUAUAACCAACUUACCUCAAAUUCAAGAGAGUUAUCAAACUAAAGCUUCCCCUUCAAAACCAAUCCAUCAAAAGCUUUAAACCACCAUAGUGCACCCUUGUGUGGAGUACCUUCCAAAACCAUCGGUUAAAACUCAAGAUUUUGGCAAAGAUUGAAGUUAGG
This 2049-nucleotide long non-coding RNA is filed under the name Coffea arabica (coffee). RNAcentral describes it as "long non-coding RNA (CARA_LNC007498)". The record is from RNAcentral. Lineage: Eukaryota; Viridiplantae; Streptophyta; Magnoliopsida; Gentianales; Rubiaceae.